AAGACUAUACUUUCAAGGGAUCAUUUCUAUAAUUUAUUACUAGGGAAGUUUCUCUUAAUAUGUGGAGUGCCAGAACCCAUAAGGAAGAGACACAGCGUUCUUGCCUGAGCAGGAAGCUGGCUCCUGGAAUUGCUUUAAUGCAACUCGCAUUAGCCGUUGAUGAGUCUUCUUACUCUUCCUUUGGGAGAGUAAGAGAGAGGACACAGUCUGAGUGGU
Molecule: small nucleolar RNA, 216 nt
Filed under: Castor canadensis (American beaver)
Lineage: Eukaryota; Metazoa; Chordata; Mammalia; Rodentia; Castoridae
Description: Small nucleolar RNA U3 (ENSCCNG00000020524.1)
Rfam family: Small nucleolar RNA U3
About the family: Small nucleolar RNAs (snoRNAs) are involved in the processing and modification of rRNA in the nucleolus. There are two main classes of snoRNAs: the box C/D class, and the box H/ACA class. U3 snoRNA is a member of the box C/D class.
Source: Rfam by way of RNAcentral